CAUACAUGCACACACAGGCGCAUACACACACACACCCAGGCAUGCACACACACACGCACACACAGUUGUCAUGCAGUGUCCCGGUGAAUGGUGGCUCCUAGCCCAUCCUGAAGUUGGGGUCAAAUCCUGGCUCUGCCACUUACAAGUCAUCUGAACUUGUGUGGAUCAUGUCACCCCCCAACUUAGUGUCCCCAUCUGUAAAUGGGGCCCAUACAGGGACCCCCAUCAUAGGGCAUGGCGAGGGUUAACCACUGCACCUGUGCAGAGCUCUGGGGACACAGCUGGCCACAGCAUGAGGAUGGCCAGCAUCUUCACCAGUCCAGGGCCACACGGUGGUCUCUUUCUGUGCUGAGCUGCAGGCUUGAGGCUGUGGACCCUGAAGCUGUGCAGGCUGUGAGGGCGCCCCGGUGCUUCCUCUCAGUGUCAGCUCCUUGGGGAACAUGAAGGAUGAACCAUAGGGAGCGAUUACUCAGAACAAUAAUUUGUGCUUAGAUUGAUUUUAAUCAGCAGCACAUUAGAAAGGCCCUCAUGUGAUCACCGUUUAAUGACUGUGAUAUGCGUAAUCCAUUUUAUUCUCAGCUGGCUCCUGUGGUAAUUACAUUUCUCUUGUGUUUAAUUCAUAACUUGAUCAUUUAUUCCAAGUCGUGUUGGGCUUGGACCUCGGGCUCCGAGGAACGGCCGCUGACGGAGCUCAGACCCAGCACUUCUCCUGGAGAGCCAGCCGCUCGCUGCUGGCCAUGUCUGGAGGUGGCGAGGACAGGCUUUUCCAUCGAUCUUGGUGGGGGCACCUGCUCCAGGGGCAUCUCCAUGGGCACUUGGUGGGACAAAGCUGCAGGAAUAGUUGAUGUUGAGGUUGAUGGUGACAGUGAGGACUGAGAGAAUACAGUCACGUACCAUGGGACAAUGUUCAGGCUAGCGAUGAACCUGUAAUGCCACAGGGUCCCGUACGAUAUGAGACCUGGUUUUGCUGUACCUUUUCUAGGUUCAGGUGUGUUUAGAGACACAAAUGCUCACCGUUGCGUUACAGUUGCCUCUCAUAUUCAGCACAGCAACACACUGUGCGGGUUUGCAGCCUUGGAGCAACGGGCAGCACCACGUGGCCUCGGGGUGUCAUGGGUGGCACUGUCUGGGUUUGUGUGAGUGCACUCUGCAGUGUUCACAACCAAACACUGACUUUCUCAAAACUCUCUCCAUCAGUAAGUGAUGCACUGCUGCACCAGAUGCAAGAUCACGUGACCACGCGCUUCCCGCACAUGCUCACGCAAAGACCUCAGGUGACCACGCACUUCCCGCACACGCUCACGCAAAGACCUCAGGUGACCACGCACUUCCCGCACACGAUCAUGCAAAGAUCUCACGUGACCACACGCUUCCCGCACACGCUCACGCAAAGACCUCCUGUGACCAUGUGCUUCCCACACAUGCUCACGCAAAGACCUCAGGUGACCACACGCUUCCCACACACACUCACGCAAAGAUCUCACGUGACCACACGCUUCCCACACACGCUCACGCAAAUACCUCACGUGACCACACGCUUCCCGCACACGCUCAUGCAAAGAUCUCACGUGACCACGUGCUUCCCACAUACACUCAUCCCCCCACAGCAGUGGGAGGUCCAGGGACAUGCAGCAGCCCCAGGGGUCCUGGGUGUUCUACUUAACCUUUCUGUGCCUCAAUUUCUCCCUCUGAAAUGGGGCUGAUACCAGUCUUAGUUUCACUGGGGUGAUGAGCUGGGGGCCUAGAUUACAGGAAGUGCAGUACAGGUGUUUGUUAAAUCACUAAAACCAUCAGCACCUUUGCCUGACAGGCGAGGAAACGGAGGCACAAGGAGCUGAUUAGCCCGUGAAGAUGUUCUGAUGGCCUCAGAAGAACUCAUCAGCCGAUCCCCACCAGGCUACGCUGCCUCUUCUGGGAGCCUCUGGUCUCCCCAGAACGUCCAUCCACUGGGGUUAGAUUUGUCCGGUGCUCACCCCUCCACAGGGGAGCCUGCUUGUCAGCACAGGGCUGGCCACCCUGGCACCAGAGUUUAGUCCCUAGGGAGGUUCUUUCCCUGGCAUCCUGGGGACUGGGCUGUCGUUUCAGUUUAGGCCACCGUCACCUGCUCAUUCAUCCCCCCACGCCCUCCCUCAAAUUUCCUGAGUGUGCAAGGAAACCCCCGCCCUACUGCCCUGGACGAGCUCUUUCCCACCAGGGUGAUCAGGGUCCCCCUAACUCAUCAGGGCGGCCCUGCCCCAGCAAUCCCCACAUCUGGAAGUCGCUCAUUAGGACCUCAUUAGCCUGUGCUCCGCCUCUCAGCCCAUGGCCGUGGUGAGUUCAGUCUGCAGCAACCACCCAACCGACUGCACCAGCAGGGCAACGAGAGCCGCAAGAAUGACAGCGCUGUUUACUCUCCAGUUUCCCCAGAAAGGCCUGGCCAAAGCAUGCACAGGCAGCCGUGCCAGGGGCUCCUGCAGCACCUUAAGAGACCAGGAAGGGGGCGGAUUAGCAGGGGUCAAGGAUCUGGGGAAGAAGAGAAUGAAUUUAGAAGGCUGUAAACCCCAUCUGAGCCUUACACGUAGUUUCCUCUAAUUGGAUUUUCACCAAGGCCGUGAUGGAUGUGGAGUCUCGGCUUUCUGACAACGUCUUCCAGAGCAGGCUUUCUCUAGAGGGUGAACCGGCUUUGUUCUCCUGGGAGAGAACACAUUUGCUUCCGAUGCCCAGGGCACGAAAGAGCUGGACGAAACAGCGGAAGUAGAGGAGGUAGAUUCUCUACCUGGGAAACCCAGCAGGGCACACUCACACUGGAAUUCAGAUGUUGUAAUAAGUGUGCGGAUGCGCCUGUUCUAAGGGAAUAAAGGGUUCUGCCCUCCUAAAAAUUCUGCCCUUGCAAGGGGUGUGGAGACUGCAGAGCUGCUUCCCGGCUUCUUCCUCCAGGAAGCCUUCUGUCCUCCUCCGAACUGUAGACACAGGGCUGGUAAACGGGUAGCCGGGCGCCCCCACCGCCUCCGUGUGGUUCCAUGACUGAGCAGGUCCUCCCUGGCCACUCCCAUCUCUGAUGACAGAAGGUACCAUGGUGAGAGCCACUGAAUUAGGAAGAUGGUGAGGGGCAGGUGCCCUUCGGGGGCUGGGGGAUUCUGGACUCUGAGAGCCCCUGCCUCCAUUCCUGGUUAUCGCGGCCACUGCCCGUCUAGGCGGAGCAAUCUCUGUACCUGGGGAAUGCAGCCGCCCAUGGAGACGACUCAGAAUAAUGGGCGGUGUCUCCGUGUAGCUCCCGCCCCGGUGCGGAGCUCUUGGUACCAGAUGGCAGGUGGUGUCUAAACAGCUGUUCACGAGGACAUUAUCUCCAAGCACCCGUGGAAUCGAGCUUUCCUCCCCCCAGCUGAGAAGUGACAGGCACUUCCCUGUUUACCGAGGACAACAGUCGACUGCAGAGAGGCGUGGAGCUCGCAGCUCUUCUGAUGUCACAGUUGUGACUUGAGCGUCAUGUCCUAAAGCUUCAGGAUGAAGGCAGCUCCGCUCCACCGAGGGCCGGAGUCUGAGUCCAUGAAGUUGACCAAAGGCCACACAGCCACGGGAGACACAGUGGCCACCCUGGGGCAUCUACACUGAAGGCCAAGGGCGUGUGGAGGAAAAGCCGACUGAGCUGAGGCCUAGGGAGGAGGCAGCAGGCAAAGGAGGCAGAAGAAACUGCACGGUGGCGUCCAGGGCAGGGCAGGUGCGUCAUCUGGGCCAGUUGCAGAGACAUGCCCUUCCACCAACCAUCUGAGGAGCACUUAGCACCCACACGAUGAGCCCGGGAGGGGCCAAGCCAGGAGGCAGUGCGUGGGGCACAGAGCCUCUGAGCCAGAGAGGGGGAGGUCCCUCAGGAGGCCCCUGCCAUCCCCCACUCUGGGUGGGCCUCUCCAGCCAGACUCUGCACCCCAAGGGCAGGGCUGGGCCUAAGCCACACCUCGGGGUGCACGGGCUGUGGGGGGCUGCUCCUGGACACGGAAGGAUGACGCCGGCUUCCCUGUGCCUCUGCUGGGGCCGCGGGACCCAUGUUGUCCGCCUGGCCGCUCUGAUGCCAGCGUAGCACAGCCUCCAGGGCAGCCACGGCCCAACCUGCCUUCCUAGCCUCAGGGGUAUCCCAGAGCAUGUGGGAGUGCAGGAAAAGGUACUCCCAGGGGAUCCCCGCUCACCUCCCGGCCAUGCCCUACCAGGCACUAGUGCAGCGCUGCAGCCACCCCCAGGCCUUACCUACUCCCACCCACUCGGUCCCAGCACCACCAGCUUCACUACCUUCCAGGCACUCAGCAGCAUAAGAGACCUACACACACAUACACACACAUGUGCACACAUACACAGAAGGGGCUGAGUCACACACGACCCCAUUUGCAAGCCCCAGAAGCUGGACGUCCACUGAGCAGCAGAGAUAGCCCAUCCCAGAGGGCAAAGAGGAUCCCUGGGGUCCCUACGAGGACACCUCACCCAGGUCCUGCCUGCGGCUUCCCACUAGGCCCCUUUGGGAGGGUGGCUGCCCCCUAUACCACUCAGUGCUAGGGCUUACCCAUGCGCCCCCAGCCUGUACGCCCCCAGCCCAUGUACCCUCAGCCCUCUGCAACCCCCACCUGUUCACCAAUGACCCCACUCAUCCC
This is a long non-coding RNA of Cercocebus atys (sooty mangabey), 4616 nucleotides long. RefSeq lists it as uncharacterized. The record is from RefSeq and is a predicted model, not a curated record. Lineage: Eukaryota; Metazoa; Chordata; Mammalia; Primates; Cercopithecidae. The transcript is spliced from 3 exons.